This 618-nucleotide ribosomal RNA is filed under the name uncultured Alphaproteobacteria bacterium. RNAcentral describes it as "bacterial SSU rRNA". It matches the Rfam family "Bacterial small subunit ribosomal RNA", at positions 28 to 692 of the family's 1533-position model. The record is from RNAcentral. Lineage: Bacteria; Pseudomonadati; Pseudomonadota; Alphaproteobacteria.
AACGAACGCUGGCGGCAUGCCUAACACAUGCAAGUCGAACGAACCCUUCGGGGUGAGUGGCGCACGGGUGCGUAACGCGUGGGAACCUGCCUUUAGGUUCGGAAUAACAGUUAGAAAUGACUGCUAAUACCGGAUAAUGUCUUCGGACCAAAGAUUUAUCGCCUUUAGAUGGGCCCGCGUUAGAUUAGAUAGUUGGUGGGGUAAUGGCCUACCAAGUCGACGAUCUAUAGCUGGUCUGAGAGGAUGAUCAGCCACACUGGGACUGAGACACGGCCCAGACUCCUACGGGAGGCAGCAGUGGGGAAUAUUGGACAAUGGGCGAAAGCCUGAUCCAGCAAUGCCGCGUGAGUGAUGAAGGCCUUAGGGUUGUAAAGCUCUUUUACCAGGGAUGAUAAUGACAGUACCUGGAGAAUAAGCUCCGGCUAACUCCGUGCCAGCAGCCGCGGUAAUACGGAGGGAGCUAGCGUUGUUCGGAAUUACUGGGCGUAAAGCGCACGUAGGCGGCUUUUCAAGUCAGGGGUGAAAUCCCGGGGCUCAACCCCGGAACUGCCCUUGAAACUGGAUGGCUAGAAUACUGGAGAGGUGAGUGGAAUUCCGAGUGUAGAGGUGAAAUUCGUA